This is a long non-coding RNA of Apis cerana (Asiatic honeybee), 4587 nucleotides long. RefSeq lists it as uncharacterized. NCBI's taxonomy places the organism in Eukaryota, Metazoa, Arthropoda, Insecta, Hymenoptera, Apidae. The record is from RefSeq and is a predicted model, not a curated record.
GGGGUUCGUUCGCUGUGAAAUACGAAGCAUGAUACGAAGCGGCCGGCGUUUAGUCCUUCAAGCUACACGAUGGAAAGUAUACGAAAAGUGGGGGGACUAUUGAUGCAGUUCACUGCGUGAGAAAGUGAACAUCGAUCGAGAAUGAGAUAUCUAGAUGCUAGGAGCAUGCGUUCAUAAAAAGAGAAGCUGUGGCACGUUGACCAUUCCGAAUCGGAAUUUUCUACACUACAAUCAUAAGAAAACAAUACCAGUGAAACAAUGACUGCAUCGACUAGUUUCUUUUCAAAUAUUGGAUCAACAUCCAGAUUGAAGACAACGUAUUAGCUACUCUUUUUUUUUCUAUGAAGAUUGAUGGUCUACCUCUUUGCUGUCCGAUGGCGGAUUCUUCUGGUGUUGCUUUUAAGAAUAAUGGCGGAAUUCUUGGUCGAAGGCGCGCCUUCGAACGUUUGCGUGGGAGUUGUUCGUCUAAUUGUGGAUCGUUAAAGGAACGAGCCUACCGCCGCGAGGCUGUUGCAAGCGAGACUCAAAAUCGUUGGCGUUUCCGGUGAACGAGCAACGCGUUUAACCUCGAUCCAAACUGCACUUGCCUUCCUUAUAUCUAUAUAAGUGUUAUAAUUCGUGAGAAGAUCGAUCUUAAAGAUCGAAAUAAAUAUAGAAAUUUCGAUCGAUCGAUUGUUUGUUAUAAAGUGGAUGCGUUUUUUCUUGUUUCUGGAUAAUAGUGGAAUCAUCGGUGUCAUCCCAAUUUUCAAUGAUAUAGAAUAAGGUGAGUUUUAAUUGAAAUAUUUGUGGAGAAUAAUUUGAGAAUGAUUUAAAAACAAUUAUGGCAAUAAUAAUUUUCAAAAAUAUUGUUUCUUCGUGAUAAAAUUGAUGCGAUGGUAAAUUAAUUAAAUAAAAUUGUAUAGUUUUUUUUAAUAGUAAGAAAAAAUUAAUCCCAUUAAGAGAAAUUUAUCGUUUUUUACUAAAUACAAAUUUACUAUAAUUUCGAUAAAAAAAAUUUCCUCUAAUUGAUUACUUUUUAAAAAAAAAUUACACCGAAAAAUGAAAAUUUAAUGAUGUAUAAUUUAAUAUUUUUAUAUUUGGUCAAUUUUUUUAUGAUAUUUUUUUUUUAGACAAACGGCUAUUAGUUACUGAUUACUCAUAGUAGAUUCACACUGUGAAAGAAUUUAUCAAUUUUGAUGACUCCCCAAUUUCGCCUCGUUCUUUUUUCCUUUUUCUUUUUUUUUUUUUUUUACUUAGUUUUACUAUAAUCUUCUGAUUUCUUACAAGAAAUAAGAAGAAUCAUGCCGUGUAAGCAUUUUUCAACGCUGAUGGCUUUCGAAAUUCGCCUGUUUUUACGUUAUCCCUUUCUUUAUUUAAAUGAGUACAGAAUAGCUAAUUUAAAUUUUCGUUUUUUUGUGCAUAUACGCGAAUAAAAUCGGACAGGGCAAGAAUUUUUCAUUCUCAAGAAUUUUCAAAACAUAUCUGUUUUUAUCGCUAAUCUUUUUAUUUCUCUCAUAAUCGUUCAGAUUCUUCAGAUUCAUUGAAUUAUAUUGUGAAAGAUGGUUUCUCUUAUUUAUACUAUUUCUUACAUUUCUAACUUUUUACAUAAAAUCCUACUAUAUGAAAGAAUAUUUCAAACUUGAUGGACGUUCUUUUAUCCAUCAUCUAUAUUCUCAAAAGAUAAUUAAUAAGCUUAUAAUAUUCUUUAGAUUUGGAAUAUUGAUUAAAGAAAAUAAAUCGAAGAAAAGAUCAUCUUACAAAAAAAAAAAAUUGCCUCUUUUCCACCUGGACAGAUGAACACAAUGCAUCGAUCGUAUCGUGUAAUGGCCCAAUCAUUUGUACACAUUACUCUUCCAUCGUUAUUGCGCAUAAGCAGCUCGUUAUAUUAAUACAAUUAACUACAAAAGGUUCUGCAAAAGGAAGGAAGCAGGGCAUAUAUACGAGCAUCACCAUAUCCAUGAGUAGGAGAACCUGUUCUUCGACCAGACAUUACAGAUGAAUCGUUAAUUGAGCACAAUUCUUUUUACGGACAUGGCAACAGUCCCUACGAAUCGACGGAUAUUUUUGCGUCUUUGUUUCCGUAAUUGUUCGUAUUCUUUUGGUUCUUUUUCAGGAAAUGAACGAAUAGGAAUUAGAAAAAUUUGGUACAUGAGUGAAGAAUUAAAAAAUAAGUUAAUUUUAGUAACAAUGGUACAGAAAAUGUAUUGCAAUAGUAAUGUUGCAAAAAAAUAAUUUCUUCAUGUUGUUUCUUUCAUAGUAAAUGUGGAAAAAUAUAAAAAUAAUUUUAGAUUAUAAAGAUCUACUAUGAAGGUGUGGAUAAAGAUAUGAGAAAUAAGAGAAGUUAAUAUUAAUUUUUAAUGAUACAUUGCAACAAUGAUCUUGCAUAAUUUUUGAAAUUAAAAUGUUGCAAUGAAUUUAAAAAAGAUAUAAAAAUAUAAUAUAUUUAGAUGAAUAUAUGGAUGAAGAUUGAACAAAAAUGUUCAAUUACAAAUUUUCAUUUAAAGAAAUAUUUUGGAGAUUUUAUCAAAAUAGUAAGAUAUUGUUAGAUCAACGAUUAAUUGAUUUUUUUUGUACUUAUAAAACAAUUUAUUUUUUAACUUAUUUUGGGAUUGCACGAAGGGUAUUUGGAACAAAUCUAAAAAUAAAGAAUAUACAUACCACGAUUUAGUCACUACAAUUACACGACCUAGAUUCCAUUAUACUGCUAUGGGAUAAAUUGGAUAAGAGAAGCAAGGAAACGUAAUUUAGCCUCUAAACACGCCUCUAGGAAUUAUUACAAAAUAACUGGAUGAAUAUUCUACACAGAAAUGGUUUAUAAUAUAUAUAAUUGAGAAGAGUAUAAUAUAAAAUAGUUUAAAUAAUUUUAUAAUUUCAAAUUUUAAAAGUAAUUAUACUUUUAAAUAAUUUUUGAAAUAUCUUUCCACGUUCGACAGAAUGUAGGUCACAAGAAAUAUAAUGACAGCUCCCAAAAUUGCAAAGGGCUUCAGUUUAAUGUUACCUGUCCAACGUUAAACUCCUAUCAAAUUUUAAACCCUUUUCUCCAAAAGCAUGGGAUAAAAGCAUAUAGGUGAGUAGUGAGCAGAUUUCACAAUUUUAUAUAUAUAUAUAUAUGCAUCUAAUAUAUGCACUAAAUGAUGCAUUUACAAGUAGUUGCAUGUUAAUGAAAUUUAAAAUUAUUUUUAAUUAUUUUUAAUUUAUAAGAUAAUAAAUAAAUGUUAAAAUUGGUGGUCAAAAGAAAAUUUUAAUGCUAUUUUUAAAAAGAUCCAAAAAUCUUUGAUAUUAGGUGAAUUUAGUUUAUAAAUUUAUUAACACAAGACUUUAAAUUGAAAAAUUUUAUUUUAUCGUGGAUACCACCAAUUGCAGGACACUUUCUAUCUAAUCACCAAUAUUAUUUAUAAUAUUUUUUAAAAGAAAUAAAGUCAUUACAUAAAUUUCACAUAGGGAUCGGAAUAAAUAAAGAAAUAAAAAAUAAAAUCACACGUUUCAUUCACUCGAUAGUUGUAUAUCCGAUCGAAAUAUUUCCCAUUCAAACGUUUAUGUUCUACUGAACUAUAUGAACUGUAACUAUAAUUUCCUCCUUAGCGCAGAAUAUAUCUGAUAUUAUUAGAUUACGAGACACCGAUAUCGCUCGUUAUUUUAUCAAUGUUCGCACAUUUUUCAAAUGUCUCGCGCCAGUUAAAAAGAUCGGGAAACCAGUUUUCAAAAUCAUAAACAGCUCUGAUUCGCCAUUAGUCGGUGACUUACAUUCCAACGAGACCUCUAGCGUCUUUGGCCAUUAACUACAACCGAACGACCGGAUGUCUCGUAAUCGUUGGCAUUAAAAAAUUACAAAACAGCCUUCCUCCUGAUCGAAACCAGUUUUCAAAAUCAUAAGUAGGGUCAGUGCUUGGCUUCGAAUUCCACUCGGAUCUUCAGUUUCUUCUUCCAUUAACUAUUUAAUGGAAGAUUAUAUAAUAAAUAAUAACAUGGAGAUACGUAUAUUAUUGAUUUUAUAGCGUAAUACUUGAAACAAGUUUCCAAUUGUAGGUAAAACCUUGAAACGGAUUCGAGGAAUUUUGUUUAUAGGAAAGAAGAUGUAAUACUGUGUUCAAAGUGUUUUUUGUCCGAACGAAUUUUUUCCCACAAAAUUUUAAAGCAAUUAAGGUGUGAAAAAGAAUCUUCGUUUCACAGGAAAGUGAAGGAAAAAAUGAUAAAUAUCGAAAAGAUAGGUAGUUUGAAAUACGUUUUCAGUAGAAUUUUUAAUAAAUUUAAUUUAAUAUUAUUAUUAAUUCUACCAGUUUAUAAAAUUUACGAACCGUGACAAUUCAACGAUGGCUGCGUUUUUCAUACACGGUCUUCUACUUUUAAUCGAAUUCUAGGAAUUGUUGAAUUGUAAGUAAAAGUAUAAUUUUAACAUUUUUAUAUAUGUAUAUGUAUAAAAUGGUCUAUAAAAUUAUACAAAUAGUAAGAACAUGGUAAAUGUAAUAAUAACUAACGAGUCGAGCAUAAUAGUUAAUAAUGUCUAAGCUCGGUUAUAAUCGUGAAAUAAUAAAGGUUAUGGAUAUUCCAAAUUAUUAUUAACUUCGGGUCUGAUUUCACUUCGAUAAAUAAAAUUCCUGAACGAUCGAU